UGCAAGGUUUGGUCCUAGCCUCAGUAUUAAUUGUAACCAAAAUUACACAUGCAAGUUUCAACAUUCCCGUGAGAAUGCCCUGAUCAAUCUAUCAAUUGAUUAGGAGCGGGUAUCAGGCACACACACGUAGCCCAAGACACCUUGCUUAGCCACACCCCCAAGGGAUUUCAGCAGUGAUAAACAUUGACACAUAAGCGCAAGCCUGAAUCAGUUAAGGUUGAUAGAGUUGGUAAAUCUCGUGCCAGCCACCGCGGUUAUACGAGUAACUCAUAUUAAUACUUUACGGCGUAAAGAGUGGUUUAAGAACAUCUCAUAUUAACUAAAGCUAAGACCUCAUCCAGCUGUUACACGCAUUCAUGGGCGGAAUCACCAACAACGAAAGUGACUUUAUUAAACCAGAAAUCUUGACCCCACGACAGUUAAGCCCCAAACUAGGAUUAGAUACCCUACUAUGCUUAACUACAAACUUAGACAAUAACACACCCUAUUGUCCGCCAGAGUACUACAAGCGCUAGCUUAAAACCCAAAGGACUUGGCGGUAUCCCAAACCCACCUAGAGGAGCCUGUUCUAUAACCGAUAAUCCCCGUUAAACCUCACCACUCCUAGCCAUUCCCGCCUAUAUACCGCCGUCGUCAGCUCACCCUGUGAAGGUGACAAAAGUAAGCAAAAAGAACCUACCUUCCACACGUCAGGUCGAGGUGUAGCGAAUGAAGUGGAAAGAAAUGGGCUACAUUUUCUACCAAGAAAACACGGACAGUAAACUGAAAAACUACUUUAAGGUGGAUUUAGCAGUAAAAGAAGACUAGAGUACUUCCUUGAAACCGGCUCUGGGACGCGCACACACCGCCCGUCACUCUCCUCAAUAAACCAUAUCCUUUAUUUAAAAAAACUACUUCAACAAGAGGAGGCAAGUCGUAACAUGGUAAGUGUACUGGAAAGUGCACUUGGAAU
RNAcentral lists this non-coding RNA (952 nucleotides) under Heterodontus francisci (horn shark). Its description in RNAcentral is "12S ribosomal RNA". It matches the Rfam family "Bacterial small subunit ribosomal RNA". Lineage: Eukaryota; Metazoa; Chordata; Chondrichthyes; Heterodontiformes; Heterodontidae. The record is from RNAcentral.